Molecule: ribosomal RNA, 253 nt
Filed under: uncultured bacterium
Lineage: Bacteria
Description: partial 16S ribosomal RNA
Rfam family: Bacterial small subunit ribosomal RNA
Source: RNAcentral
UACAUGGGGUGCAAACGUUGCUCGGAAUCAUUGGGCGUAAAGCGCGCGUAGGCGGCUGGACAAGUCAAAGGUGAAAUCCCUCGGCUCAACUGAGGAACUGCCUUUGAAACUGUCCGGCUUGAGGCCGGGAGGGGGUAGCGGAAUUCCCAGUGUAGCGGUGAAAUUCGUAGAUAUUGGGAAGAACACCGGUGGCGAAGGCGGCGACCUGGUCCGAUACUGACGCUGAGGCGCGAAAGCGUGGGGAGCAAACAGG